AAUGAGAAUGAAAGUGACAAAGAUUAAUAAAAGGAAAAAAGAGAACAAAAAUGGGAUUUUGCGCUCUUUGAAGAGGUUUUUCAUGGAUGAUGAUAUGGCCAUUGCUAAUGGAGAUUUUUUUUGUUUUUAAUGGAGAUUUUUGCAGUGAGAUCUGGGAGAGUUGCAGAGAAAAA
Molecule: long non-coding RNA, 173 nt
Organism: Lycium ferocissimum
Lineage: Eukaryota; Viridiplantae; Streptophyta; Magnoliopsida; Solanales; Solanaceae
Exons: 2
Source: RefSeq, a predicted model, not a curated record